UGGGGUGUAGCUCAGUGGUAGAGUGCUUGCCUAGCAUGUGUGAGGCACUGGGUUUGAUUCUCAGCACUGCAU
This 72-nucleotide transfer RNA is filed under the name Marmota marmota marmota (Alpine marmot). It matches the Rfam family "tRNA". From Rfam's summary of the family: Transfer RNA (tRNA) molecules are approximately 80 nucleotides in length. RNAcentral also lists the same sequence under 2 other names. The record is from Rfam by way of RNAcentral. Lineage: Eukaryota; Metazoa; Chordata; Mammalia; Rodentia; Sciuridae.